GUUGAAACCUCCGGGAAUCGAACGCGGAACGUCCGCUCCUCUUGCGGAGCCCUCCAAUCCCCUAGUACGAUCGAGCAGUCCCCGUUCCAAAUGGCAUGGAAACAAGGGUAGAAAAUCAAGUCUGCACAGCAACAAGCGCCAUGAUUGCGUUGCACUCUGCGUCUCAGGCGCUGAAAGAUGGAGCGCCGUGAGGAGGAUGUCACCGGCAGGUCGCCAGUUUACGCAGGCUUUGCAGGAAAUGAUUAGAGUGCGUUUUGGAAACCAGCAGAAAGCCCUGCUUGAGCUCGCUGUUUAAGACGUCCCACGAUGCUGUUAAAUGUUUGCAGAUAGACUACUCGAUGUGCAGAGAUGCGGUACUUUUGAAAUAAAGUCUCACCGAGAUGUUCCCCUCGGCAGAUCACGCAACCAUCGGUAUCUUGAUAUAUUUUAAGUCAGAAACUCAUCCUUAGAAGAUGGAGACUGACAAGUUUUGCAUUUCCUAAGACUAGCAGCAAGGGGAGAAAAACGCUUAUGAAGAGCUCUUAGGGUUUGGGAACUGACGCGGCGCUGUGCAUGUCCCGAUUGGAGUCACUGGAAUCCAACAAGAAGAAAGCUUUACGGAGACGCCAAAAAGCAGCGCCAUCCAGAUGCCGGCCACAUCGAUGUCCACGCUGGGCCUACUGCCAUGAAAAUCCACGGCACCAAUGCCUCUGCAGAGGCCUGCACACCACCGCUUGGCGUUCCAGUGUGGCACUGAUUAUUCUGCUGAGGAUGGAUUUGCAAGGUGAGGAUAAUACAUAUACACACUAGUCGUGAAUUUACAUAAUCACGCAACACAAAUGACAUUCUUCAGGAAAUACCAACUUAUGACCGAACUUCCUUGACAGUUAAACAUUUUAAAUCCAAAGCAUGCAAAUGGCUCAUAAAGUGAGAUGACCACAAGUCGCAGAACGGCACCAACAUGAUCAGACUGCUUACGAGUGGGAGAUGACAGAGGAAGGGCCCAGCUUUGCAAGAGUAAACUCCGCAAAGAAAGCACAGAAAGCACUUAACACAGCUUACACACACAGAGAAAGAAAUAAGCCUCCAAAUAAAUGUACAGUAAAAAAAAAAAAAACAUUUAGUCGGAAAGUAAAUCACCUUUUCAUUUUCUCAUUUAAAAGCUUAUUUUAUUUGCAGGUGUCCAGCUAGUUUUUCAGUUUCACCCAAUGUCUCCAGAAAUGUAAUUCACUGUUUAUGUCAUUCCAAAAUGUUAAUGAAAAUGAAAGCCCAAAUUUGUGAAUCAAUUGUUUAUUAUGACAGCACAGAUCAGUACAAAAAUGCACAUUUAAAUACAGUUUACAUUACAGGUAUAAAGCAUGUAUAGCCCAGUAGAUAAUAUAUAAUAGUUUAAAAGUCAGCUUAAAUUACUGAAUUGUGAAACUUUUGUAGAGAAUAGCAAACAUCAGCAAGUGUUAAUUUUGCUACUCUAUGCAGAAACUGCAAUCAAAUGACAGCAACAGAAAUGUAUUUACCUUAAGCAAACCGACAGCAGCACUUUCUUGCCAUCACCUCACCCCGUCCUGCUGAUCCCUGUAACGUGUAAGACUCCUGAUCUCAGCCCAGCAGCCCUCAGCGGAGACGACAGUGACAACGUUGAGGCAGCAGCUGAUGGAUCGGCUGGCUUCACUUCAGCAGCACGAUCAAUACUGGAGGCAUCAGAAGUGGUUUAACUCCAAUAUUUACGUGCUGCUAGAGCGAGGCGGCCAGUGUGUAUGUGUGUGGGGUGCUGGUGGGGGGGUAGGGAGGGGGGUGACGACAUCCCCAGUCUCUCUCUCCUGGGCCUGGUCCACUUAUGUGCUGCUUGUCAGCUUGCAGUCUUAUUUCCCGCAACCUGCUUGCCAGGGCCUGUCUGCCCGGUGUUAUUGCUGCAGCACAGCAUGGCCUGCAUCCCCGUAUGACCCACAAACCAUUCUGUGCUGCUACAGCACCGCCAGGCCUGGCCCAUGCACUUCCCUCUUCUCUCCCGCUCUCCCUUUCGUCGUCUCCUCUUAGUCUUUCUCUUGCCCCCCCCCCCCCCCCCCACAGGCACGCGCGUGCUCGCUCACUUGCUCUCUCUCUCUUGCUCGCUCUGUCACACACAUACGCACACCAGAAGCCAGGGUCUGACGACAUCUGAAAUACAAGAACAAGAAUGACAUGAAUGAGCACAACCUCUACAUGAAAAAUAAACAUAAACUUCACAUUUGUACCAGUUGGUUAAAUAAACUGCUCCUGCUGCUCAUUAUGUAGCAAAGCCGGUACAUCCUGCAAUGCAGCACAUCACCACAUCCCAAUUACAUUUUAGCCAACGUAUUAUAAUUCCUAAACCAUAUUUUUAACAUUUUAAUUCAGUAUUAGCUUUACCAAGUCAAAAUGGGACAUUUCAACUUUAAAACUAUAUUUAAAAUAUAGGUAAUAUAAGUUUAGACAACAGUGAAAGCAACCACAGAAUUGCACGAAUAAAAAGGUUAUACACCAGCCUAUACAGAACAAUUAUGCAUUAAAAUAAACGAAUGAGAGCUAUCUAUUAUAGCAAUCAUUUGACAGAAAAUUGUAGAAAACCAACUUUAGCACACCAAUUACAACCGUUAGUGUUGCAAGCAUGUACAUACUUUACUGGUUAUGCAACAAAGCUAUUGACUGAGCUGCUGCUUAGUGUCAGCCAACAUCCUUGCCUAUGUUAAGGACUCCAACUCAUCCAAAACUGUUCCCUGAACCAAUUCCCAUCCUGACAAAAAUACAUAGACACACCCCUUUGUGUGCACACUCCCAGCCAACCCCGCUGCAUGCUGGCUAAAGACAAUGAAACAGAGGAUGGCCAAUGCCUUUGGUAUAAUGAAUGGUUAUUGUAACAUGAGAAUCUGCAAUUAGUGCCAUCCACUAGGCAGACGCAGUGGAAGCUGAUACAAUCCAAACUACCUAUCUAGCAAAACUGUUAUGAGGUUAGACCCAAAUCAUGCUUACGAAAUGAAACCUAAUGCAUCAGAACCCUCAUCUCUGUUCAAAUACAAUAAGCGCAAUUUUAAUUUGCCCAAAUAAUGCAGAAAUUUAAGUAAAAGAUUCUGCCAAGAGGCUGCAAGUAUUUUGGUUCAAAAUAACUAGGCACAAGUUGAAAAAUAUUUCACACCCUCGGUGGAAGCACCUUUACACAGAAUAAGGUAUUUUAAUGUAUUUAGCUAAAGCCCAAAAAUAAGAAACACUCUUGUUCAUUCCUAAAAGCAUAAAAAUAAGCAACUAAAAUUGGGUAGCCACUGAAACCUGGCUUCUGUUAAAAAGUAUUUCAUUUCCAAGUCAUUAAAGAAAAGCUUACGAGGCUCAAGUAAAUUGAGUCUGCCAGGAAAUUCUGUAUAACCUACUAGUCAGAGGUUUUACUUUUUGUUUAAUCACUGUAGAACUGAUUGCCUCAAAUUAACAGCUAAAACUCUGCAAUGUCUUGUGCAAUGUCAGUUCUCAGAUGGGAAUUUACAAACACCAAUUGUAGGAUCUCAAAACUGUAAGAAAUGCAUUUAUAGUCAUGCUCACCACAUGCUAUGAAUAUGUAGACAGUAGCACCUGCUACAUGCAUAGAAGUUUGUAUUUUGUCCUAUAUGGUAAGUGACCAUUCAAAAGUGUUAUAUGUUAGAUAUUUUAGAUCCUAAGAGGCACAACUCAACUAAAAAUAGGGGUAAGAAAUUCAAAUUUAUAAUUUACAUAACUAAUUUAGGUGAAACACAGCUGACAGGUAAAGAAAGCCAGCACCCAAAUGGAUUCACCAAGGUUAAUUUGAUCUCAGGAACAAUUGGAUUCCCCAUCCCUUUGCAAUACAAGCCAUUCAAACUACUUUAAAAUGUUCAAAAAGUUCUUGUUUUUGAGAAUAAGAACCUCCAUUUUCACAUAAUCAGUAAAAAUGAACCUUGUGAGUGGGGCAGCAAACUACAGGACAAAUGACCAACCACAAUAAUGAACAUAAUGCAUAGACACAGGGAAAAUACAAGUAACGGAACACAUGUGUAAGUAUAUUUGAUAUGAUCAGCUGUCAGUGUGUUGGACUGUCAUAAGGUGUAAAGCAUUUAUUAGGUCCAGAUGUUACCAUAGGACUUAUAAAAUUACAGCAGAUCUCAGAGUCAUAAAAAUCUGUUAUAAGCUGCCAUGUCUCCAUGACAUUUCUCUUAAACGUAGUGCAUUUAGCUAACAAAACAUUUUUUCCCCAGUUUGUUAAAAACCAACCAGAAAAGGGAGGAAGGGAUUCUCUAUGACGACUCAAUAUUUAUCAGGUAUCAUCUACAAUGAACAAGGUCCUGUGCUAGACAGACAAAAAGGGUAUGUUAGGGGGUGAAGCUGGAUCCACAGUUUCAUCAGGUCUAGGCUAGAUAGUGCUUCAUAAAGCAUCACAUAAAAAGGCUUGAAAACAAAAAUCGUUACACUGCUUCAAGAAAGUCCUCUCAGAAUACUGUCAAGUUAAUUAAAUGAAUGAAUCUAUGGGAAAGACAAAAAGGUCACAUUUCAAAAUGUCUGCAGGAGUGCAAACAAACUAUAAUCAACCCACAAGCAGCGAGGGGAAGACGUUGUUUUAAUCCUAUAGACAAAACAGAAAUGUACUGAAAUUUUGCAGAAUGCCAAUUUAAUCCCAUAUUGAAACUGUAAUCCCAUAUUGAAACUUGAUAUUGUACAAAAAACUGAAACCAAGCGCUUAACAAAUGUUAAACUUUAUAAGUGCACAUUUAUCCUUUUGUAAAACCUGACUGCAUCUGAUUCAAUACCACAGUGAAACAUAGUAGACAGAUGCAGAAUUUACAAGUGAUUUGACAUCUGACCUUGAUUUAUUUGAAUGCUGGUUACAGAAAUCUUGCUAUAGGUAUUAGAACCACCACUGCAAGCCGGAAACAACUAAAUUAGGAGAGGUAAAUUAGACCUAGUUUUCUUACAUGCGCAUCUAAAUUUCAACCCAAUAAGCAAUUACUAAUGAAACCAAAAUUUGUUAAACAAUAUGCCAAUACAGUAACAGUGAUAUCCGUGAUAUGCCAAUGACAGCCAAAUGAGAACACAUACACCCCCUAAUCAAAAUGCUUAAAGCUUUUUCAAAACUACUACACUGCAAAUCAUAGUUCCUUUAAAAAACACUGACAAAAACAAAAUUAAAUGGAGGCUUUUACUUGUAAUCAUGUUUAAAAACAAAAAGAAAUGCAUUUACAAAGUACUUACACUUGAUAUCCACCGCAUUAAACAAAACACAAAAAAACAAAAUCAACCAGAUACAUUAAAAUAUGUAUAAAUUGCAAACAAAUAUUUUUCAUGCCUUAUUUAAAUCUUUAAAUCUAUACUAUGCUGACCAUGAGGGCCCAAUGUCCAUUUUAUGUGAAAGAAUGCACAGAAUGGCUAUUUAGACCAAGUGGAGAGGUAGAAGGGUGUGUUUCUUGUAAUUACUACUGGGCUGUGUUUCUAAAAAUACAUUUUCUCCCCUAUAGAAAGAAAAAAAAAAUUCUUACGUGUGGGUGUCAGGCCUACAUACAUAUACACAAACACACACACACACACGCACGAAGAGCUACCUUUACAUUUGCUCAUAAAACUCACACACUGAAGCACACUUCCUCCUGCACUGUAGCCAUGUCAUACAAAUCAAACAACCGUCGAAAUGAUAUAAUUACACAUCUGGAAAACUGAAACAAUCACAAAACACUACUUUGCUCCUAUGCCCCUCCCCCACAAAACACACACACACACAAAAAGGGUUUAGGCAUAAAAUCACAAAUCACACUGACAAUAUUUCUUAAGGCUUUUAUCACACCAUAGCUACUAGAGACUCUCACAUUACAUAACUACAUUUAAGUAUUCCAUAUGGAAUGCAAAAGACUCCACAAAAUAUAACUUUAAGCUGUAGAAAAGUUCGACUGCUGUAGGACCUAGACUACAUAAUGUAUAAAAAUAAAUCUAAAUGAAGAAAUGUCGUGAAAACCAGAAAGGUGCACUUACUGCAACUUUGACAAAUUAAAUCAAGGCAUUUGAAAAUUAAUAUCCUUUACAGAUGUUAUUUUCCAUUGAACUCACUAAAUGACUGAAGCUUGUUUUCACAUUUGUGACAUUUCACUUGCUUACGGUAACAGCAAAUUCUCAUUGAUUUAACACAAAGCAGUUUGAUACACAGUGUAAAAGCAACAAAAUGCUAAAAUAAUCAUUCAGGUGAUUAAAAACUACAAAAAUACAAAGACCCAAUAUUUCUCAGUGCUACCCUGAAGUGCUGUCAUUAGAACAAAAUAAAAUUGUACUGUAACUCAUCAGUAAAACAAUGGACUUGCGAUAGGAUACAUCGCUUCAGCACAAUCACAAAUACUAUUAUUGCACAUAGAAAUGAGCUUCAAAAGGCAAAAAGAUAUAAAUGAAACAAUAUAUAAAUAUAAAAGGGAGCACCAACAAGACAGGUACCAUAUACAUCCAGGAGUCAGCCCUCUUCAUUAAAGCAUAUACAACUUUAAAUAUUAUUAUUAAUAAUAAUUCAUAAAUAAGCUGAGAAAUUUCCCCUGAAGCCUAAUACAAUUAAAAAAAUAAUAAAAAAAAAAAAGACUAAAACGCACAAGCUUUGACUCAUCACUACCGACAGAGAAUUUUUGCAUCCAAGCGUCAGAUAACAGUUUGACAUAACCAAAAGUAGGGCACAUUAGGCUACUUUUCAUUAAGCCUGAUCUAUACUUUCCAGCUACACCAAUGUAACUUAAGAGUUUGUACUAAAAGAAAAGUAUUAACAACAAAAAUCACUGCUUUUGAUUCAAAUUGUAUUCCAUAGCCAAGCUGACAAUGCAGUUCAGAAAAUCAAGUGAAAUUAAAAACCUAUCCAGACAAUCCAUGUGAAAUGCAAUAUUUAUACAAGAACAAGUGUGUAAGAAAUUAGAGCAAGUGUUAUUCCUAAUUAUUCUAAUCAGCUAGCUGUGAUUUAAGAGUAAAAUAAAACAAAAUCCUUCAAUUCAGUAUGCACUGCUUCGUAGAAAAAAAAAAAAAACACUUUCCAUCCAGGACAUAAGACAGAACCACUUUGCACUAAUUUCAGCACAUAUGCAGUGUGAACUGUUUACUGCCUCCAAAGUUCAGUAACGACUAAGAUGCAAUCAGUUAUGAGUAAACACAGCUUUCACAAGAACAGACGAAUAGUUUUCACAUAUGUUAAUUACUGGUGGCUAAAAUACAUAAAUUUCAUAAGACCCACCAAUAUAAUUUUACUGAUCCCCAAGUACCAAUGGAGUACACUACACUGAAACAAACUGAUAAGUAUCGGAGGAGAAAACCUCUGGGACAUCUCAAAUACUUUGUCAUAAAUAUAGCUUUACAACAAUUUUUAGCAAUGAGCAAAACAAGUUAUAAAAUGUCAGUAUCAUUUUACAGUACAGGCAACGUAUACAAAUAAAUGGAUUGGUUCAAUAAUUGAA
This is a long non-coding RNA of Brienomyrus brachyistius, 7397 nucleotides long. RefSeq lists it as uncharacterized. The transcript is spliced from 4 exons. Lineage: Eukaryota; Metazoa; Chordata; Actinopteri; Osteoglossiformes; Mormyridae. The record is from RefSeq and is a predicted model, not a curated record.